GAGAGGGGCAUGACCGCACCGAAUACUGCUAAUUUUCGUUACCCCGGUUUGAAUCCGAGGCCCACUCG
RNAcentral lists this transfer RNA (68 nucleotides) under Ophidion marginatum (striped cusk-eel). RNAcentral describes it as "tRNA-Ser". The record is from RNAcentral. Lineage: Eukaryota; Metazoa; Chordata; Actinopteri; Ophidiiformes; Ophidiidae.